CCCUCCCAUCCAUCUCUCGCCGAAAACAGCGCCGAUCCCCUCCCCCCGCUCCUAUCCUCUCGCAGAAAACAACGCCGUCCGCCAUCGCCGCCCAUCGCUCUCCACCGCGUCGCCGUGCCUCCGCCCUCCCUCUUUCAGGUCGCCGACCCAACAUCAGGUCACCGUCGCUCACGGCGCGCUUGCCUCGCAGGUCGUCGUCGCUCCGCCGCCACCCGGUCCCCAUCGACCGUCGCCCACGGCGCCUCCACACCAUCCCCGCAUCUCCGUCCGCAUCGCCUCCCUCAGCACUCGGCCCUCGCACAUCCCCGCGCUCUGCGGCUCCGUAUCGCCGCCCUCGCCGCAUCUCCCUCAUAUUCUGGUUUUGUUCACUGCCGCCGCCUUGCAAGUCGCUGUCAAUCCGCCGCCAUUCAGUCUUCAUCGUCGAGUCCCCUUCGCCGCGCACAUCCGUCGUUGGAGCGAGCAUCAUCGUCAGAAUGAUGUCUUCAACCAUCCUCCCUCCACUGCCGUCGCAUCAGUGCCACGUCUAGCCGCCUUCGCAAGUCGCUGUCGAUCCGCCGCCAUUCAGUGUUCGUUGCCAAGUCCAACUGCGUCGCCGCUGUCACCAUCUUCACCUUCACCUUCACUGACCUCUCCUCUCAGGAGGAUGCAGCAACUGCAUUAAAAAGAAGACCUUAUGCUAACAAAGCCAAAGGAACCUGAGUUUCAGACCUCCCACAGGGUCCGUGCAGUCAAGAGUGAAAAGCUCUGCUGAGCUAGAGGAGGAGAUGCUGGCCAACAUCCCAAAAUUCAGAGCACGGCCAUUUAACAAAAAAGUUUUUGCCAUUUCACCUGACGGAUAAAGACAAUGGCUAUUUAUCUUUAACAAUAGAUAUCAUAGACUGCAAAAUUAUUUCUACGCUUGGCUGAAAGGAGGACACCUCACUGCAGGUAUGUCCAUACACUAUACAUUUAUAUGAAUCAACACAAUUUAAUGUUUGCUUGUGUCACAAAAACAAAAUAUUUCUCUGAUUUAAUUUGAGAAUGCAUCUUACAACAAUUUAGCUGGCUUUCGAGCUUCUUAACCUGAUGCAUUCAUAUGUGAUGCUCCUGAGGAAUCCUAAUAUGUUUCUUGUUUUCAACUGUUUGAUGAGAUAGUUAAUUCUAUAACUGAAUAAUCUUCUCAAUGCCUAUUCAGGACAAUGUGUAUUUACUAAUGACCUAUUUCUUAUUUAUGUACCUUUAUGCACAUGUUGUUUCCUAAUUCAGAUUAUUAUAGAUCCUAUUGUUUCCUGUCAAAAAUUUAUAGCAAUCUAGCUCCUAUGAGUUUCCAUAUACAUGUUAUAAGAAUGCACCCUGUAAUAUUUAUGGGAUCUAGAAUUCAAGAAUUACAUACACAAAAUAUCCUUUCAAUCUAGCUAAUUAUCUGCAUGGUGCUGCUGAUAUUACUAGCUCACUUGGAUAUGCCACACAUUAGUCCAUUCAUGCUACACAUGCACGGAUCAACAAUAUGCAAUGGUUUGAGUUCACCUCUUGUAUCUGUAAUUCAUUUUCUUAUCUAGAUAAUAUAUGGCGUUUAGGCAGGAAUGUACAUAUAAGUCAUAGUUAUGGCUAUGUGAGGGAUUCACUGGAUUUGUGUUCAACCCUUAAGACAUGUCAGGCAUGUUAGGCUUAAGACAUUACGAUUUUUAAUUUCUAUUUUUUGGUACAAGAAUCUCCAUGUGAAUUUAGGUGUAUGCCUGUUUGUCAGCAUCUAUGAUAUUUUAUUUAAGUUGUAAAAUCUGCUCGUGUAAGUUUUGUCCAUAUUCAGCCAAUACAGUAAGUGAACCACCCAGAUUGCCUUAUGUUUGGUUUGAUCUCUUCUCCCUUACCCUUCACUGUGUGAUAUAUUUUUGUCCUGUAUUGAUAUAUAAGUGAUGUGUGAACCAAUUUAGAUUUUUGUUAUUUGAUUACUGGUAUGAUAUGAUGCAAUUGGUUGAA
This is a long non-coding RNA of Oryza sativa Japonica Group (Japanese rice), 1956 nucleotides long. RefSeq lists it as uncharacterized. The record is from RefSeq and is a predicted model, not a curated record. NCBI's taxonomy places the organism in Eukaryota, Viridiplantae, Streptophyta, Magnoliopsida, Poales, Poaceae.